This is a long non-coding RNA of Homo sapiens (human), 1204 nucleotides long. Ensembl annotates it as long intergenic non-protein coding RNA 2347. The record is from Ensembl. Lineage: Eukaryota; Metazoa; Chordata; Mammalia; Primates; Hominidae.
GAAUACCAGGGGUGGGCACUGUCAAGAGACCCAGCUUUGACUUCAAAUGCCACCCAGAGGGACAACUGCUCACUUUCAGAGCAGGAGCAGGAGGCCAGAGGAGAGUGGGUCCCUAUGAUCCAGACCUCAAGAGAGGGUUCCUGGACCUCCCACAGAAAGGGAUUCAAGCUGAAACUGAUUAGAGCCAAGAUAGCCAACCAAAUGACUUCAGGAAGACCUCAGGCUUCAUUAUCAUCUCAUUUCCAUGCUAAAAAAACCCAGCUCCCUAGAACAAUGGGAAAUAUUGGGCACUUCAUCAGGCGAGUUCAGGUGCAUUUCUAGAGAUUGUCCAGGUGCUGGUAACAAUAAUAGAGAACCAUCCAUAUCCACAAGAGGCAGAACCUCUUCCAGCAAAAUGGUGCUGCCUCACCCAAAGGUAUCACUAAGCAUAUAGAUUAUAGAAGCCUGAGAUGGUGAGUGGAAUCUGAAAAUGAAAUCUAACAUUUACCAAAGAUACAGAGAAGGAGGAAGAGACUGGAUUCGUUGUUCCGGCCCCUGAGUCUAGUCAGUCAGUUCUACUCUUGGGCUUUGUAGUUCUGUUCAUCAGUGAACUCUUCUGUUUUGUUGAAACCAGUUGGAGAAGGGUUUCCAGAAACCUGCACUUGAAGAGCAUCAGCUGGCACAGAGAUCUUGGCUGAACCCACUGCUGUGUUUGACUAGGAAUGAGAGUGGGCACACGGAGAGGGCAGCCCACCAGGCAGGUGUGUCUCACAUCACUGGGGAGCCCUUUUCAUUCAAAGAUGACCAGCUUAUAAAAGAUCAGUGAUGGGAAGUCCCAGGUAGGGCCCCCAGGACCUACAGCAGGGGCCAGCAAAGAAUGGUCAGCCGUCUCUCUACUGGGUCAGAAAGAAAUAAUGAAAGGGGCUGAACUUGGCCAUGUGAGCUGUCCAGCAUGGAUGCCAGACCAGACCAAAAUCCAGAUUCAGACAGCUGCUCCCUAUAGCAGGGGAAACCCCAAACACAGACAAGACAAAGCAGCAGAGCAACUUCCUUACCCAGACCACUGGCAGUCCCAAUCCUUCUCCACCCCUCAGGUUGCCUGGUUACUGGACAUGCGGACAUUCACUUUGAUUAUGCUCCAUUCGAGAAUGCUAGAAUGAAAAUGUGGGUAAAUGGUGAAGGAAUUCAAGGAAAAGAAAAUGCACCCACCAUGUUUAUGUUAUAA